UACAAUGGAGAGUUUGAUCCUGGCUCAGGAUGAACGCUAGCGGGAGGCCUAACACAUGCAAGCCGAGCGGUAUUUGUUCUUCGGGACAGAGAGAGCGGCGUACGGGUGCGGAACACGUGUGCAACCUGCCUUUAUCAGGGGGAUAGCCUUUCGAAAGGAAGAUUAAUACCCCAUAAUAUAUUGAUUGGCAUCAAUUAAUAUUGAAAACUCCGGUGGAUAGAGAUGGGCACGCGCAAGAUUAGAUAGUUGGUGAGGUAACGGCUCACCAAGUCAGUGAUCUUUAGGGGGCCUGAGAGGGUGAUCCCCCACACUGGUACUGAGACACGGACCAGACUCCUACGGGAGGCAGCAGUGAGGAAUAUUGGACAAUGGGUGAGAGCCUGAUCCAGCCAUCCCGCGUGAAGGACGACGGUUCUAUGGAUUGUAAACUUCUUUUAUACUGGGAUAAACCUACCCUCGUGAGGGUAGCUGAAGGUACAGUAUGAAUAAGCACCGGCUAACUCCGUGCCAGCAGCCGCGGUAAUACGGAGGGUGCAAGCGUUAUCCGGAUUUAUUGGGUUUAAAGGGUCCGUAGGCGGAUCUGUAAGUCAGUGGUGAAAUCUCAUAGCUUAACUAUGAAACUGCCAUUGAUACUGCAGGUCUUGAGUAAAGUAGAAGUGGCUGGAAUAAGUAGUGUAGCGGUGAAAUGCAUAGAUAUUACUUAGAACACCAAUUGCGAAGGCAGGUCACUAUGUUUUAACUGACGCUGAUGGACGAAAGCGUGGGGAGCGAACAGGAUUAGAUACCCUGGUAGUCCACGCCGUAAACGAUGCUAACUCGUUUUUGGGUUUUCGGAUUCAGAGACUAAGCGAAAGUGAUAAGUUAGCCACCUGGGGAGUACGUUCGCAAGAAUGAAACUCAAAGGAAUUGACGGGGGCCCGCACAAGCGGUGGAUUAUGUGGUUUAAUUCGAUGAUACGCGAGGAACCUUACCAAGGCUUAAAUGGGAAUUGACAGGUUUAGAAAUAGACUUUUCUUCGGACAAUUUUCAAGGUGCUGCAUGGUUGUCGUCAGCUCGUGCCGUGAGGUGUUAGGUUAAGUCCUGCAACGAGCGCAACCCCUGUCACUAGUUGCCAUCAUUCAGUUGGGGACUCUAGUGAGACUGCCUACGCAAGUAGAGAGGAAGGUGGGGAUGACGUCAAAUCAUCACGGCCCUUACGCCUUGGGCCACACACGUAAUACAAUGGCCAGUACAGAGGGCAGCUACCAGGCGACUGGAUGCGAAUCUCGAAAGCUGGUCUCAGUUCGGAUUGGAGUCUGCAACUCGACUCUAUGAAGCUGGAAUCGCUAGUAAUCGCGCAUCAGCCAUGGCGCGGUGAAUACGUUCCCGGGCCUUGUACACACCGCCCGUCAAGCCAUGGAAGUCUGGGGUACCUGAAGUCGGUGACCGUAACAGGAGCUGCCUAGGGUAAAACAGGUAACUAGGGCUAAGUCGUAACAAGGUAGCCGUACCGGAAGGUGCGGCUGGAACAUCUCAUUUUAGA
RNAcentral lists this ribosomal RNA (1522 nucleotides) under Chryseobacterium piscicola. RNAcentral describes it as "bacterial SSU rRNA". It matches the Rfam family "Bacterial small subunit ribosomal RNA". The record is from RNAcentral. Lineage: Bacteria; Pseudomonadati; Bacteroidota; Flavobacteriia; Flavobacteriales; Weeksellaceae.